Molecule: long non-coding RNA, 2225 nt
Filed under: Homo sapiens (human)
Lineage: Eukaryota; Metazoa; Chordata; Mammalia; Primates; Hominidae
Description: non-protein coding lnc-POLE4-3:1
Source: RNAcentral
GAUUCUCACAGCUACUCCAUCUGUGAAAGCUCCUGGGAGAGGGGUAAGGCGGCCUCCAAAGACCACUUGGAAUUGCCUCACCCAGAAGAUCAGAACCCUACUUUCUGGGCAGAUACAUGGGAUCCUCUAUAAUCUGGUUCACUAGACCAAUCUCACUGAUCACCAUUCAGUGAGAGUUGCAAAGAUACGGAGAAAUGGAAUUAAAGCUAUCAAAAUAAGAAAAUUCCUGAUCAAAAGUUUUCAACUACUUAUCUACAGGAAAAGUUAUUUUAUGUGUAGUAAACUAAAUUCAUUUACAAUGUCUUUGUGAGUUAUUAAUCAUCCGCCAGUGGGAGGCAGGCAACAGGAGAAACAGGCUGUGUAUCUGAGAGUGGGACCCCUUAAGAGUGCAAAGGAGAAGGGGAGAGGAGAGAAGGUGACAAUAUGUUGCAGUUUCAUUAUUACAAUUUACAACAGCCUACACAUGUUUAAUCCUGAUUUUCUUCUCUUUGAGGCACUCACAGUGCAAGUGAAGAAUUAAAUCCCGUCUUUAUUUAAAAUGUUGAUAUUUUGUUAAUCAUAGAUUUUUGUGCAUUGUUUGAUAUCUAUGUACUUGUAAUAGGUUGUGAUACACAUAAUUUGCAACUAUGUACAAAUAAACUGUGGUAUCUUACUAAUUGAAACAGAAGCAGUAGUUGAAAUUUAUAAAAAGUUUUGUAGGUAUACAGUAACGGAACUAAUUUAUUUUGGGUGUGUUUUUGUAUGAUGAAUACAAAAGUAUACUACAUAGUAUUUUAAAAGUGUUUGAGCCUUUGACUGUUUUAUGAAUUAACCUAAGUAACAGUACCAAACUUUUUGUAAAUGAGUCCUCAAAGUUUUGGUUAUAUUUUAUUUAAAAUUAGUUGAAAAUUGUAAAUCAAAAUAUUUUCAAUGGAGUACUCCUACAUUUUUAACUUCUGAAGCUUUUGGCAAGUUGCAAUUUCUCAAUACAAAUCUGGCAAACAAAAAAGACAUUGAAAUUCAUUUCUAUAAAAGCCAGAGACAAACUGCAUGAAAUAAAAACUGAAAGCUCCUAUGGGGUGCACAAUUUAAUUUGGAAAUUCUUGAUUGGCUCUUAGGAAUAUUUUGAUUAGAGGAAAGAAUCUUUUGAUGGAUUUCUUGUUUUUUAGUAAAUUGUUAAUAUUCUCUAUCAAAAUAAAGUAUAAAAUUGAGAAAAUUUCAUUUCUCACAAUUAUAGUGAUUAAAUUUGGCAAAACACUAAAAUGAAACAACCUGUCAACUAAGACAACUUAGUUUUGUCUUCUUAGUUUUAUCUCUUAAAUCUAACCUUCUGUACCUCUGUGCUGCAUUCUGGUUAAUUUUUUUGGAUCUUCCAGUUCACUGACUCUCUUCAGCAAGUCUAAUCUGCUAUUAGAUUCGUCCACUGAGUUUUAUAUUUUAACUGUUAUUAUUGUUCAUUUUUAGAAUUUUGAUUGCAUAUUUUUAAAAAUGUCUAGUCAUUCUUUAUAAUUUUUACUCACUCCUCAUAUUGUCAGACUUCUUUUUAUUUCAUUAUACAUAAUAAACAUAAUUUAUAUUUAGUGUCUCUGUUAACUCUAAUAGCUUAAGUCUCUGGGUUUGCUUCUGCAGGUUCUCACUCAUGGUGACCUCUUCCAUUAUCUGUUUUAUGCUCACUGCAUACUGCUUAUUUUCUUUGGAACUUUAUCUUUGAGGAUUUGUUGAUGCCUUGUUGAAGGUGGGUUCCUUCAGAGACGAUAUACAAUUGUUUUUGCCAGAAACCUGAGAAUACUUCCAGACUGGGACCACUGCAAACUGGAUUUCAGAGUGAGGUUUGUUUUAGACCAACCAACUUAAAUGAAUUUGGUCUGCAUCCCCAUGUGAGGAUACUUUUUCUGCUACGAACUCUCAGAAGAGAUUUUUUUUGUUUUCUGUCGACAGCACCAAGGUUGGAGAUGGGCAAGUUUCCUGCAGCUGUUGGCAGGCUAGGCAUUCGUUUCUAGUUCUCUUUUACACUGAGGAUAUAGCUUUUUGGUUUCCAACUUUAAGGGAAGGUGGCCUAUUAGACAACCCACCUUGGGCAGGUCCUAGGCUUUGUUUCUUGUCCCCAUACUCUGUGAGUCAAGGUCAAGGUCAAAAGCCCUUAAGACAAAAGCCAGCUUCACUGCUGUCAGUAUGUAGAAUUCCUGCCAUUAUUUAAAUUUUGACUUGAGCAUUUUUUACUUCUUGCAAGACAAUGAAUGAUUUAA